UACAGGGGGUGCAAGCGUUACUCGGAUUUACUGGGCGUAAAGAGCGUGUAGGCGGUUUGUUAAGUCUGGUGUGAAAUCCCUGGGCUCAAUCCGGGAAGUGCAUCGGAUACUGGCAAACUAGAGUGCAGGAGGGGUGAGCGGAAUUCCCGGUGUAGAGGUGAAAUUCGUAGAUAUCGGGAGGAACAACAGAGGCGAAGGCGGCUCACUGGACUGAUACUGACGCUAAGGCGCGAAAGCUAGGGGAGCAAACAGG
RNAcentral lists this ribosomal RNA (253 nucleotides) under uncultured bacterium. RNAcentral's name for it is "partial 16S ribosomal RNA". It matches the Rfam family "Bacterial small subunit ribosomal RNA", at positions 524 to 776 of the family's 1533-position model. The record is from RNAcentral.